GGGCUCACACAAGCGGUGGAGGAUGUGGCUUAAUUCGAGGCUACGCGAAGAACCUUAUCCUAGUCUUGACAUGUAUGGAUUAACCCUGUGAAAGCAGGGCCACGCCUUCGGGUGGAACAUACACAGGUGCUGCAUGGCUGUCGUCAGCUCGUGUCGUGAGAUGUCGCGUUAAGUCGCUUAACGAGCGAAACCCUUGUCUCUAGUUGCCAGCGCGUAAUGGCGGGGACUCUAGAGAGACCGCCGGCGUUAAGCCGGAGGAAGGUGGGGAUGACGUCAAGUCCUCAUGGCCCUUAUGACUAGGGCUGCACACGUCCUACAAUGGAACGCACAAAGGGAUGCGAAACCGCGAGGUCAAGCAAAUCCCAUAAACCGUGGCUCAGUUCAGAUCGUAGGCUGCAACUCGCCUACGUGAAGGAGGAAUCGCUAGUAA
This 430-nucleotide ribosomal RNA is filed under the name uncultured bacterium. Its description in RNAcentral is "bacterial SSU rRNA". It matches the Rfam family "Bacterial small subunit ribosomal RNA", at positions 917 to 1341 of the family's 1533-position model. The record is from RNAcentral.